UAUCCGUCAAGCUUUC
This 16-nucleotide small RNA is filed under the name Arabidopsis thaliana (thale cress). Its description in RNAcentral is "ATSL068990". The record is from RNAcentral. Lineage: Eukaryota; Viridiplantae; Streptophyta; Magnoliopsida; Brassicales; Brassicaceae.